UUUUUUAUUAAAAAAAAAAUACAUCACCUUUCCUUUAAGAUUAUAAAACCAUUAUCAAUUCAUUUCUGUCAUAUAUGAUGAAGAAAGCUCCUCAACUAUCGUUUACAGUCUUAACUAUCUUCAUCAUUCUUGUGCUAGGAACGAUGGCAAAUGCACAAGAAAGAAAAAAGAUCUGUAAUCAACGACAUAUCCCUUUAGCCAAAAAUGGGCUGUGUGUUGAAUCUGAAUGCCAAGCUAAGUGCGUUGAGAGACACGGAACUAAUGGGAAGGGUACAUGUUAUGGGACAAAGGAAAAAAACGAUGUGACUUGCUUUUGCGGAACUCCUUGUUAACGUUCUGGUUAAAUAAGGUGAAUAAAUAUGAUGCUAAAUCAUGAUAUCUUUGAAGUUUUUUUCACAUUUUUGCUAUAUUGUUUUUUCUUUAAUAGAAAAAACUAUAAUAUUUUUUAUUGGGAGCCUUGUAAUAAAGUAUUGAAGUUGACAUAUAAUUAUAAAUAAAGUAAAUGUUUGUUU
Raphanus sativus (radish) is the source of this 512-nucleotide long non-coding RNA. RefSeq lists it as uncharacterized. The transcript is spliced from 2 exons. NCBI's taxonomy places the organism in Eukaryota, Viridiplantae, Streptophyta, Magnoliopsida, Brassicales, Brassicaceae. The record is from RefSeq and is a predicted model, not a curated record.